Molecule: transfer RNA, 67 nt
Filed under: Oxyeleotris marmorata (marble goby)
Lineage: Eukaryota; Metazoa; Chordata; Actinopteri; Gobiiformes; Eleotridae
Description: tRNA-Asp
Rfam family: tRNA
About the family: Transfer RNA (tRNA) molecules are approximately 80 nucleotides in length. Their secondary structure includes four short double-helical elements and three loops (D, anti-codon, and T loops).
Source: RNAcentral
AAGACACUAGUAUAAGAGAAAAUACACUGCUUUGUCAAGGCAGAAAUGUGGGUUAAACCCCCGCGUG